This is a small nuclear RNA of Gorilla gorilla gorilla (western lowland gorilla), 60 nucleotides long. The record is from Ensembl. Lineage: Eukaryota; Metazoa; Chordata; Mammalia; Primates; Hominidae.
GUGCUCACUUCGGCAGAACAUAUACUAAAAUUGGAAUGAUACAGAGAAGAUUAGCAUGGC